UACGUAGGGUGCAAGCGUUGUCCGGAAUUAUUGGGCGUAAAGAGCUCGUAGGCGGCCUGUCGCGUCGGCUGUGAAAACCCGGGGCUCAACCCCGGGCCUGCAGUCGAUACGGGCAGGCUAGAGUCCGGCAGGGGAGACUGGAAUUCCUGGUGUAGCGGUGAAAUGCGCAGAUAUCAGGAGGAACACCGGUGACGAAGGCGGGUCUCUGGGCCGGAACUGACGCUGAGGAGCGAAAGCGUGGGGAGCGAACAGG
This 253-nucleotide ribosomal RNA is filed under the name uncultured bacterium. RNAcentral's name for it is "partial 16S ribosomal RNA". It matches the Rfam family "Bacterial small subunit ribosomal RNA", at positions 524 to 776 of the family's 1533-position model. The record is from RNAcentral.